RNAcentral lists this long non-coding RNA (1203 nucleotides) under Ananas comosus (pineapple). RNAcentral describes it as "long non-coding RNA (ACOM_LNC018719)". The record is from RNAcentral. Lineage: Eukaryota; Viridiplantae; Streptophyta; Magnoliopsida; Poales; Bromeliaceae.
UAUUUUUGAAUAUUUGAGCACGGAUUGUUAAAAUACUAACAUACAAUUUCAGCUGUUUAUUACACUACCGUCCCUAGAACAAAUGAUAAAGGACUUGAUGGUUGGUACCCGAGACCCAAAUUCGAAUCCUAGUUGAUUCACAUUCUAGCUAAGUCUUAGUUUGGUAUUGAGAUUUAUCUAACGCUAUAAAAUGGAGUUGAGGAGGGGUAUGCUUCUGCACUCUCCAAUGGGACCGCAGAAAAUAUAUCGUAACCGACUCAUCGCGAUAUGCGGAACGCAAUAUUACAUACGCAAUAUUACGUACGGAAACAAACAUGUAUUUUUCCAAAGUACUUUUUUACCGCAUGUAAAGUAAUUUUUCCGCAUUCCCAGCAUUUCCAAACGUAGCCUAAAUUUAUUUCUAAAUGAAAUAAACGAAGCAGGUAACGUGCUACCUAUCUCUCAAAAAAAAAAAAAAAAAACUAUUUAUUACACUACCAAAUAAGAAAAAUUCGGCGGAAUCUUAGAAAUUCUGACUCAAAGCAAAUUUUAAAUUAGUCCGAUUAUAUGAGUUGAGUCGAAUUGAUUUGUGCAGCAAGUCACGUCCAAUCAGUUGAUUUGAUCGAUCCGAGUCCUAAAAUACUAUUAAAGGUAAAUUGCACAUUCAGUCCUCAAACUAUGAGGAGGCUACGAUUUAGUCCUAAAAAUUUUAAUUCAUUAUAAUUUGUCGCUUGAGCCUUCAGAAUUUUUGCAAUCAAAUUUUACAAUCCAAUUUAAAAUUAUUGGCACAUCAUUUUUUUUUAGAGAGAUAGGUAGCACGCUAUCGCUUUGUUUAUUUCAUUUAGAAAUAAACGUAGCUGAAAAUGUGAAUUAACUAGAAUUCGAACUUGAAACUUCGGGUACCAACUAUCAAACCCUUUGCCACUUACUCUAAACACAUCAUCAAUCAGCAUACUACUAUAUUUUUUUUUCUAUAUUAGUAAUAUAUUAAUACUUAGUCAACUAUACUGAGUUAUAAGAUCUAGUUGUAAUAAUUCUGAAAAUUAAAAUCAGAAAUUAUUAUAGUAAAUUAAAGUCUAAAUAUGAAACCUCGAAUAUCAUCCAUUAAAUUUUUUUGUCACUUGCGAUAAGGACACAGUCGGUCACUUGCGAUAAGGACGGCCAGUAAUUGAUUGGAUAUGGUUGAUGUAGCGUAGGUGUGAUAUAGCAAGACAUUCUCCUAUU